This 1435-nucleotide long non-coding RNA is filed under the name Numida meleagris (helmeted guineafowl). RNAcentral's name for it is "lncRNA (ENSNMEG00000000854.1)". The record is from RNAcentral. Lineage: Eukaryota; Metazoa; Chordata; Aves; Galliformes; Numididae.
AUAAGACCUGUGAACCUGUGUACAUUUAGCUUUUGGGUUUUCCUUAUUUGGAUGAGUCUUACUGGAACAGAUGUACAAAUGUUAUAAUACAGGUCUUUCAACUCAUUUUUCUUGCAGAGCAUGCAAAUGUCUUGAAAGAUUUUUUUUUAAUAGCACUGUGCAUAAACUUUCAUUUGGUUCAUUUUGGGAAAAAAUAUGGCUGACCUAAAUAGAAAAGCUAUCUUUGAUCUUGCAGAGAUUGAACUGUUAGCAAAAAUUAAUAACUGAAAAAUGAACACGUGUGGCAUCCCUCCAGAGAACAAAAUAGAUCUUUGAAUCAAAGAAUCUCAGUGCAGAAGAAGCCAACUUCUCACAAAGCUUAUGAUUUUAAGCAAAAUGCUCAGAAUUUUAAAAUGGAUAUAUGCCAAGAAUAUAUAAUGGAGCUGAAUGAACAGGUAUCACUAAUAUUUUUAUGAAUGUCGUCUCUCUAUUGUGCGUUGUGCUAUUCCUCGUUCUGCGUUGUAAUUAAAGUUGAAGUGGGUCAUUCUUUUUUUUUUUUCAGGUGCUACCUGUGAACAGUUUCACACUACUGAAAGGCCUGAAACUAAGAGGCAUUUGUCCUUGAAACCAGUCAUGAAUGGAAGGUGAUGUUGAGAAGUCGUUAUCCAUCACUCUGGAAGAGUUGGUGAUGGGCAGACUGCCUGGCUUCUGGCAUGGCAUUUGGGUACAGGGGAUGGAAAAACAGAAGCUUAUCCAGAAAUCCUGAAAUACAUGGUCUGAUUUUUCCAGAACUGGAACAAGAGAAGCACCUCACCAAAAGAGAGCAAAUGCUGUCAUUUGACCUUUUCAGCCUUUGGAUUCUCAGUGCAUCUGACUCGACCAGGCAGGUCUGGGGAAGAGAAAAAUUAACAGCAGAUGGAUUUAUGAAAAGAGCUCAGUGGCAGAUGGUGCCUACAGAUAUUUACUGACAUGGCCUCGGUCUUACAGGGGGCCUGUGUUGGAGGACAUGUUGCUGUGACAGUGGUGUCUGUAGAUGAUAUGUUGAAGGAGUGCAGAGUCAUGGUCUUACUACUGAAGUAGUAAAAUCCACUGAAGUCAUCCCAUUCCCUUCUCCUUCAGUAGUAGACACCUCCUCAUGUCAUGGAACAGAGCCACGAUACUUGGUAGUUGACUACUUGAUGUUUAUUAAAACUUCCUUCUCCCAAGACAGUGAUUUUUUUUUCCUAUGUAAUUUUAGAAGAAUGCUUGAAAAAGGUGACUUAGAUGAACCCUACAGGCUCAUUAAACAGUGGCAACUGAUAAAUCUUUUCUUUGAUAGUCUCUUGAAUUUUUAAGUCUUGGAGUUGGUAAUGCCCAUACUAUAGAUGUACGGAAAUGAAUAUUUCAGAAGUGGGCCAUACCUUUUAAGUGGGGUGAUUUGAAUAAAUGAUUUCACUUUUCUUCUGCCUUUUAAUUA